Molecule: ribosomal RNA, 498 nt
Filed under: uncultured bacterium
Lineage: Bacteria
Description: partial 16S ribosomal RNA
Rfam family: Bacterial small subunit ribosomal RNA
Source: RNAcentral
AUUGAACGCUGGCGGCAUGCCUUACACAUGCAAGUCGAACGGUAACGCGGGGCAACCUGGCGACGAGUGGCGAACGGGUGCGUAAUAUAUCGGAACGUGCCCAGUAGUGGGGGAUAGCCCGGCGCAAGCCGGAUUAAUACCGCAUACGACCUACGGGUGAAAGGGGGGGAUCGCAAGACCUAUCGCUAUUGGAGCGGCCGAUGUCGGAUUAGGUAGUUGGUGGGGUAAAAGCCCACCAAGCCAACGAUCUGUAGCUGGUCUGAGAGGACGACCAGCCACACUGGGACUGAGACACGGCCCAGACUCCUACGGGAGGCAGCAGUGGGGAAUUUUGGACAAUGGGCGAAAGCCUGAUCCAGCAAUGCCGCGUGCGGGAAGAAGGCCUUCGGGUUGUAAACCGCUUUUGUCAGGGAAGAAAUCCUUUGAGCUAAUACCUCGGGGGGAUGACGGUACCUGAAGAAUAAGCACCGGCUAACUACGUGCCAGCCGCCGCUGUAA